AGGAAAAGAAACCAACAGGGAUUGCCCUAGUAACGGCGAGUGAAGCGGCAACAGCUCAAAUUUGAAAUCUGGCUCUUUUAGGGUCCGAGUUGUAAUUUGCAGAGGGCGCUUUGGCGUUGGCAGCGGUCCAAGUUCUUUGGAACAGGACGUCACAGAGGGUGAGAAUCCCGUACGUGGUCGCUAGCCUUCGCCGUGUAAAGCCCCUUCGACGAGUCGAGUUGUUUGGGAAUGCAGCUCUAAAUGGGAGGUAAAUUUCUUCUAAAGCUAAAUACUGGCCAGAGACCGAUAGCGCACAAGUAGAGUGAUCGAAAGAUGAAAAGCACUUUGGAAAGAGAGUCAAAUAGCACGUGAAAUUGUUGAAAGGGAAGCGCUUGCAGCCAGACUUGCCUGUAGUUGCUUAUCUAGACUUUUGUCUAGUGCACUCUUCUGCGGGCAGGCCAGCAUCAGUUUAGGCGGUUGGAUAAAGGUCUCUAUCACGUACCUCCCUUCGGGGUUGGCCUUAUAGGGGAGACGACAUGCAGCCAGCCUGAACUGAGGUCCGCGCAUCUGCUAGGAUGCUGGCGUAAUGGCUGUAAGCGGCCCGUCUUGAAACACGGACC
Molecule: ribosomal RNA, 599 nt
Filed under: Phoma sp. RKDO809
Lineage: Eukaryota; Fungi; Ascomycota; Dothideomycetes; Pleosporales; Didymellaceae
Description: eukaryotic LSU rRNA
Rfam family: Eukaryotic large subunit ribosomal RNA
Source: RNAcentral